AAGGCCUUCGGGUUGUAAACUCCUUUCGCUAUCGACGAAGCCACUUGUGGUGACGGUAGGUAGAUAAGAAGCACCGGCUAACUACGUGCCAGCAGCCGCGGUAAUACGUAGGGUGCAAGCGUUGUCCGGAAUUACUGGGCGUAAAGAGCUCGUAGGUGGUUUGUCGCGUCGUCUGUGAAAUCCCGGGGCUUAACUUCGGGCGUGCAGGCGAUACGGGCAUAACUUGAGUGCUGUAGGGGAGACUGGAAUUCCUGGUGUAGCGGUGAAAUGCGCAGAUAUCAGGAGGAACACCGAUGGCGAAGGCAGGUCUCUGGGCAGUUACUGACGCUGAGGAGCGAAAGCAUGGGUAGCGAACAGGAUUAGAUACCCUGGUAGUCCAUGCCGUAAACGGUGGGCGCUAGGUGUAGGGGGCUUCCACGUCUUCUGUGCCGUAGCUAACGCAUUAAGCGCCCCGCCUGGGGAGUACGGCCGCAAGGCUAAAACUCAAAGGAAUUGACGG
RNAcentral lists this ribosomal RNA (499 nucleotides) under uncultured Brevibacterium sp. RNAcentral describes it as "bacterial SSU rRNA". It matches the Rfam family "Bacterial small subunit ribosomal RNA", at positions 411 to 916 of the family's 1533-position model. Lineage: Bacteria; Bacillati; Actinomycetota; Actinomycetes; Micrococcales; Brevibacteriaceae. The record is from RNAcentral.